RNAcentral lists this small RNA (113 nucleotides) under unclassified sequences. Its description in RNAcentral is "Mahella-1 RNA". It matches the Rfam family "Mahella-1 RNA". The record is from Rfam by way of RNAcentral.
GCCGGGCUGUUGUAAAACUCCAAGCCAAUGGAGUUUCCCGAUUACGGGUUGACAGCAAGCGGUAUCAUGCUGGAAAGCAGGGAUGCCGCGGAAACAGCCGGGAUACCGGCAAA